Molecule: ribosomal RNA, 340 nt
Filed under: Cuniculina sp. SB0318
Lineage: Eukaryota; Metazoa; Arthropoda; Insecta; Phasmatodea; Phasmatidae
Description: partial 12S ribosomal RNA
Source: RNAcentral
UAAUAGUUAUAUUCUUUAAACCUAAAGAAUUUGGCGGUAAUUUAGUCUAUUCAGAGGAACCUGUCCUAUUAUCGAUAGUCCUCGUUUUAUCUUUCUUUAUUUAGUAAUUACAGUAUGUAUACCGCCGUUAUAAGUUUAUUUUAUUAGAAUUUUAAUUUACUUAAUAUUUAAUAUUAUAUUAUUUCAGGUCAAGGUGCAGUUUAUAUUAAAGUUGAGAUGGGUUACAUUAUUAUUUAAUAAACGGAUUUAUUUUUUAAAAUUUUAUUGAAGGUGGAUUUGAAGGUAAUAUUUUUUAUAGUGAUUAUUUGAUUUUAGCUCUAAAUUAAGCACACAUCGCCCG